RNAcentral lists this ribosomal RNA (360 nucleotides) under Micropholcus delicatulus. Its description in RNAcentral is "partial 16S ribosomal RNA". It matches the Rfam family "Bacterial large subunit ribosomal RNA", at positions 1833 to 2532 of the family's 2925-position model. The record is from RNAcentral. Lineage: Eukaryota; Metazoa; Arthropoda; Arachnida; Araneae; Pholcidae.
UUUAAGAAUUUUAUUUAAAGUAAAUCCUGCUCAAUGUAAACCAUAAAUAGCCGCAGUCCCUACUGUGCUAAGGUAGCGUAAUCACUUGCUUUUUAAUUGAAAGACAGUAUGAACGGUUAAACAUUUUAAAAAAGUUUCUAUAUACCUAACUAAUCUAUAAUUAAAGUAAAAAUACUUUUAUAAAUAAGCAAGACGAUAAGACCCUGACAAACUAACCUUUUAGUUGGGGUAACUAAUUAAUAAAUAUUUAAAUCAACCAAUACAAAAAUAUAUAAUAAAAUUUAGACUAGUUACUGCAGGGAUAACAGCGCUAUAUUUUACAAGAGACCCUAUCUAAUAAAAUGAUUACGACCUCGAUGU